Molecule: long non-coding RNA, 768 nt
Filed under: Durio zibethinus
Lineage: Eukaryota; Viridiplantae; Streptophyta; Magnoliopsida; Malvales; Malvaceae
Description: long non-coding RNA (DZIB_LNC001431)
Source: RNAcentral
ACCAAAGUAAAAAAUUAUAUUAUUUAAUAAUCCCUUCGUGCAAUACCACUAUCCUAUAAAUAGAAUGAACCAAGUUCAGAGCUCCGAUGUUAAAAGACUUCUUUAUUUGGGGGGCCAAUGGCGAUCCUAAGAGACUUCAUGGUUCAGAUACUAGGACACUCUGGGUAUGCAAUGGCUUAAUCGGCAUGCUUCAUGCUUGCUAACCGAAAACGGCAUCAAAUUCACCUUAAGUUGAUUUGGCAGUCAUUCAUGGUUGAUUUUCCAUUUUGUAAAUUAUAUAUGUUAUUUCUUCGUACUUACAACUAGCAUUUAUGUUACAUCCUCCUCUUUCCCAUUAGGAUAGGAAGAAUAAUCACGACCGCUCCUUAGUGUAUUUAUCAACGGAAAGGCGGGGAGUAUUUCUCUCUAUGUUUUCGAAUUCUUUCCUACAUGUUUAGAGGGGAGUUUUUCUUAUUUUCUUGUCUAGUUAUGGAAAAUGAAGUUUGGUGUUAAUCUGGCUAGACAGUUAGAUAUCUUGAGCCUGCUGAGUCUCCCCGAUUUGGUUUCCAUCCUUUGGAUGAACCAUCCUGAUCAGUAUUGAACCCAGAACUGCUUUUUCCUUUUACCUUUUUUAUUGGCUGUUAGCAUAUAUGAUUCAUGUCUUCGUUGGCUACUUUCUUUUGGUAAGUAGUGGGAUUAUAUACCACUACCUUCCUCAGAAAUUUUAUGCCAUCUUUGGUUUUGAAUGAGAGAAUUAACCUUUUUCAAGCUUUAUCUGAAUAAUAAAAU